Molecule: microRNA precursor, 95 nt
Organism: Nicotiana attenuata
Lineage: Eukaryota; Viridiplantae; Streptophyta; Magnoliopsida; Solanales; Solanaceae
Rfam family: MIR6152 microRNA precursor family
Source: Rfam
GGGACAGAUUGUUAUAUUCGAUUGUAUUCACGCGUGAAACAGGGGAUUACAUUGUUUUUAAACUGAAAGUGAAUCAAUUAACAUAAUAGACUCCU